GGGAGUAUAGCUCAGUGGUAAAGCAUUUGCUUAGCAUCCAUGAAAUCCUGGGUUCAAUUCCCAGUACCUCCA
RNAcentral lists this transfer RNA (72 nucleotides) under Camelus bactrianus (Bactrian camel). It matches the Rfam family "tRNA". Rfam says of the family: Transfer RNA (tRNA) molecules are approximately 80 nucleotides in length. Lineage: Eukaryota; Metazoa; Chordata; Mammalia; Artiodactyla; Camelidae. RNAcentral also lists the same sequence under 2 other names. The record is from Rfam by way of RNAcentral.